Molecule: long non-coding RNA, 1286 nt
Filed under: Zea mays
Lineage: Eukaryota; Viridiplantae; Streptophyta; Magnoliopsida; Poales; Poaceae
Description: long non-coding RNA (ZMAY_LNC000198)
Source: RNAcentral
ACAAUUUGAGGUAGCUGUAGAGGCCAUUGCACAGUAUGGUACGGGGUUCAAACCCCCUAGUUUCCAUGAGCUACGAGAACCUUUGCUCGCGAAGGCUGUCAAAGAGAUAUACAGUGAGAAGAAGAAGCAUGAGGAUGCAUGGAGUCAAUAUGGUUGCACCCUCAUGUCAGAUGGAUGGACAGACAGGAGGGGUCGACAUUUGAUCAACUUCCUAGUUAACAGCCCUGCAGGUACAUUCUUUUUAGAAUCAGUGGAUGCAUCGAGUGAGUCUCAUGAUGCGUUGAUGCUUGCAGAGCUACUAGAUAAGAGAAUUGAGCAGAUUGGCAGGGAUAAGGUCAUACAGGUUGUAACUGACAAUGGUGCCAACUACAAGGCUGCAGGGCGCAUUUUGGUUCAGAACACCCCUACCUUGUUUUGGACCCCUUGUGCUGCUCACUGCUUAGACCUUAUGCUGGAGGACAUAGGAAAACUAAAGGAUUUUAAGAAGCCUAUUGCACGUGCUCGUCAUGUCACAACAUUCAUAUAUAGACAUGGGAGGAUUCUUAGUGAGAUGAGGGUGCAUACAAAAGGUAUGGAUCUUGUGAGGCCUGCUGCUACUAGAUUUGCUACUGCAUUCCUCACCUUGAGGAGUAUACAUAAGCACAAGGAUCCAUUGAGAGCAUUAUUUUCUGGUGAUGUUUUCACUCGCUCCAAAGUAUCUAAAACAGAAGCAGGGAAAAAAGUAUAUAGCAUUGUUUUCUCAACAGAGUUUUGGCAUUCAGUUGAGGACUGCCUUAGAGCUUCUUUACCACUACUUGUUGUGCUCAGAUUGGUUGACGGUGAUGAGAAGCCAGCCAUGCCUGAGGUGGCAGCAGCUAUGAAGAUAGCAAAGCAAAAGAUUACUUCAUCAUUCUCUAUUCAAAGCAAGAAAGCUUGUCUAAACCGCAUCAUGAAAAUUGUUGACAACCGUUGGGUGAAACAAAUGGACACUCCGUUGUAUGGAGCAGCACUCUACUUGAACCCUGGGAAAUUCUAUAGCAUGAAGCAAAGUGAUGAUGAAGGCUAUGUUGGAGAGCUAAGGGGUUGCUUCAAUGAUGUACUUGUUAAAAUGGUGCUAGAUGAGGACCUUAGAGACAAAAUUGAUGCUCAGGCAGUCCUUUAUGAGAACCAAAGAGAAGCAUUUGCAAACCCAAUGGCUAUUAAAAAUGCUCAAACAAGAAACCCACGUGAGUAUUCUAAAAGUACCACCACUUUAAUUGUUACUUUCAGCAUUCAUAAAUCCAACCUUAUUUGUCAUUUCAGUUGAU